CAACAAGUUUUGUUGCCACUUUUCAAGAUAUAUUAACAUCGAAAACUCGACUUUACGCCAAAAAAAUCGAUUUCUGGACCACAGUUCACUGCGAGUAUUCUUACUCGAACCAAUUCCCACACAAAUAAUGGCGUGCAAGUCGGAGCCGAGGACCAGCAGCAGCGCAGUGGAGCAACUGGUGGAGUGCAAAAAUAGGAAUAUAGGAAUUGCAGAAGGCGGGAUACUUGGCCGCCGAAUGCGAACACAAUGCCCGAGAACCGGCGAUACGGUCUGGUGAUAACAAACCAGAGUUCGGACGCGGACGUUGUGGACACCUUUGCCCUAAUUGUAAACGCCAACCGACGCCGAUGCGUAGAAUGCCGCGCUGUUCUUCUUACUUAUGACGGGGAUUUCAUCUGGCGCUGCUGUUUGCCACCAUAGGCUUCAUACCUCAACCUUAGCUAACAUUGUGCAUACAUGGUACAUACAUAAUACUGUGGGCCUUACCGAGUAUCUAUCCGCAGACGUUCGACUCCAGCAUGCUAGUGGUCUGCGAGGAUGAGGAAACCGCCCAAUGGGUCAUCUCAGCCG
Molecule: unclassified non-coding RNA, 570 nt
Filed under: Drosophila yakuba
Lineage: Eukaryota; Metazoa; Arthropoda; Insecta; Diptera; Drosophilidae
Description: GE28177
Source: RNAcentral